AGAGUUUGAUCAUGGCUCAGGAUGAACGCUGGCGGCGUGCCUAAUACAUGCAAGUCGAACGAGGUGCUUUUGUAGCAAUACGAGAGUAUCCUAGUGGCGAACGGGUGAGUAACGCGUUGGUGACCUACCCCAAAGUGUGGGAUAACAGUCCGAAAGGAUUGCUAAUACCGCAUGUGGUCAUUGGAUUUAGAACCUGAUGACUAAAGGAGCAAUUCGCUUUGGGAGGGACCUGCGUCCCAUCAGCUAGUUGGUGAGGUAAUGGCUCACCAAGGCUACGACGGGUAGGGGACCUGAGAGGGUGGCCCCCCACAAUGGAACUGAAACACGGUCCAUACACCUACGGGUGGCAGCAGUAGGGAAUAUUGCUCAAUGGGCGAAAGCCUGAAGCAGCAACGCCGCGUGUGUGAUGAAGGCCUUCGGGUCAUAAAGCACUCUUCUGGGAGAUGAGAAAGGACAGUAUCCCAGGAAUAAGUCUCGGCUAACUACGUGCCAGCCGCCGCGGUAAUAC
Molecule: ribosomal RNA, 508 nt
Filed under: uncultured bacterium
Lineage: Bacteria
Description: bacterial SSU rRNA
Rfam family: Bacterial small subunit ribosomal RNA
Source: RNAcentral